UAAGGUUAUUUAUUUCAGAAACAGUAAUCUUUCCCACAUCCUCACUAACAAACUUUUGAAAAGCAGAAAAAGUCAUGCCAGUAUUAUUGGGUAAGAUAAAGGAAGACUGAGGAGGGUAGAGUGCUUGAGUAAUCGAUCCAUCAGAAUUUUGAUAAGAUCUUUCGAUUAUUUUGACAUAGGACGGUAAAUAUGCAGACAUGAACCAUGGGACAAAGAAAAUAAUUUUAUUAUGUAAAGCACAAAUUUCAUAGAAUUCUUCUGAAAUAUUUUUUAAUUCAUCAGAAGUAUAGGUUUCAAAAA
RNAcentral lists this long non-coding RNA (300 nucleotides) under Capsicum annuum. RNAcentral describes it as "long non-coding RNA (CANN_LNC003829)". The record is from RNAcentral. Lineage: Eukaryota; Viridiplantae; Streptophyta; Magnoliopsida; Solanales; Solanaceae.